UACGGGGGGGGCAAGCGUUGUUCGGAAUUACUGGGCGUAAAGGGCUCGUAGGCGGUCUGUCACGUCGGGAGUGAAAACUCAGGGCUUAACCCUGAGCCUGCUUCCGAUACGGGCAGACUAGAGGUAUGCAGGGGAGAACGGAAUUCCUGGUGUAGCGGUGAAAUGCGCAGAUAUCAGGAGGAACACCGGUGGCGAAGGCGGUUCUCUGGGCAUUACCUGACGCUGAGGAGCGAAAGUGUGGGGAGCGAACAGG
RNAcentral lists this ribosomal RNA (253 nucleotides) under uncultured bacterium. Its description in RNAcentral is "partial 16S ribosomal RNA". It matches the Rfam family "Bacterial small subunit ribosomal RNA", at positions 524 to 776 of the family's 1533-position model. The record is from RNAcentral.